ACUAUGUAUUCUGGAACUAAACUGAUCAAACGAACACUCGGAGCGUGCAAAAUCGAGAAGAAAGGAGAACUAGAGCGAGAUGAAGACUUUGAAUGACCGAAGCAAGGCGUUCACAUGGCUUAUUGGGAGGAUUCCACGUGACUGAUAAUGAGGAUGAAUUUUUUGUGGUGACUGUGACGUUCAGUGGAGGACCUUCUGGAGCUAAAUAUAUCAAAAUGGCAACCGAGGAUCCCAAAUGAAAGACAGAGAUGAUGUACUUCUUGAUGUGGUUUUGAUGUUUAAUGGAGGACCACUUGGUGCUAAAAAUCAAAAUGGAGCAAGACAUCCUUGUCUUUUCAAAUUCAACAUGGCGCCAUUAUCACGAAACCGAAACUGAGCAGCUGGAUCCAGACAGUUGUUGGAG
This is a long non-coding RNA of Dendronephthya gigantea, 403 nucleotides long. RefSeq lists it as uncharacterized. The transcript has 4 exons. Lineage: Eukaryota; Metazoa; Cnidaria; Anthozoa; Malacalcyonacea; Nephtheidae. The record is from RefSeq and is a predicted model, not a curated record.